AGAGUUUGAUCCUGGCUCAGAGCGAACGCUGGCGGCAGGCCUAACACAUGCAAGUCGAGCGCCCCGCAAGGGGAGCGGCAGACGGGAGAGUAACACGUGGGAACGUGCCCUUCAGUUCGGAACAACCCAUUGAAAAGUGGGCUAAUACCGAAUACGUCCGAAAGGAGAAAGAUUUAUCGCUGAAGGAUCGGCCCGCGUCU
RNAcentral lists this ribosomal RNA (200 nucleotides) under uncultured bacterium. RNAcentral describes it as "partial 16S ribosomal RNA". It matches the Rfam family "Bacterial small subunit ribosomal RNA", at positions 8 to 238 of the family's 1533-position model. The record is from RNAcentral.